RNAcentral lists this ribosomal RNA (253 nucleotides) under uncultured bacterium. RNAcentral's name for it is "partial 16S ribosomal RNA". It matches the Rfam family "Bacterial small subunit ribosomal RNA", at positions 524 to 776 of the family's 1533-position model. The record is from RNAcentral.
UACGGAGGGUGCGAGCGUUAUCCGGAUUCACUGGGUUUAAAGGGUGCGUAGGUGGGAAUGUAAGUCAGUGGUGAAAUCUCCGUGCUUAACACGGAAACUGCCAUUGAUACUAUGUUUCUUGAAUUUUCUGGAGGUUAGCGGAAUAUGUCAUGUAGCGGUGAAAUGCUUAGAUAUGACAUAGAACACCGAUUGCGAAGGCAGCUAACUACAGGGAUAUUGACACUGAGGCACGAAGGCGUGGGGAGCAAACAGG